This 90-nucleotide transfer RNA is filed under the name bacterium. RNAcentral describes it as "tRNA-Gln". It matches the Rfam family "tRNA". From Rfam's summary of the family: Transfer RNA (tRNA) molecules are approximately 80 nucleotides in length. Their secondary structure includes four short double-helical elements and three loops (D, anti-codon, and T loops). The record is from RNAcentral.
UGGGGUGUAGACAAGUUGGUAAGUCGGCGGAUUUUGAUUCCGUGAUUCGGGUGCAAGCUCUCGUAGGUUCGAAUCCUACCACCCCAACCA